RNAcentral lists this non-coding RNA (89 nucleotides) under unclassified sequences. The record is from RNAcentral.
AACCAUCUGCCACCGGGUAGAGAGAUGCUAUACGCAUCCGCCGCACAUCGUUAGGUCUUAGAAGAUGUGCCGACGGGUGCGUUGUUUUU